AGCAGCCGCGGUAAUUCCAGCUCCAAUAGCGUAUAUUAAAGUUGCUGCAGUUAAAAAGCUCGUAGUUGAAUUUCGGGACUAAUAUGUCGGUCGUGCCUCGGUACGUACUGGCUUAUUGGUUUCUCCUUUCUGAAGAACCAUGAUGUCAUUUAUUUGGUGUCGUGGGGAAUCAGGACUGUUACUUUGAAAAAAUUAGAGUGUUUAAAGCAGGCUCACGCUUGAAUACAUUAGCAUGGAAUAAUGAAAUAGGACGUUUGAUUCUAUUUUGUUGGUUUCUAGGAUCGACGUAAUGAUUAAUAGGGAUAGUUGGGGGCAUUAGUAUUCAAUUGUCAGAGGUGAAAUUCUUGGAUUUAUUGAAGACUAACUACUGCGAAAGCAUUUGCCAAGGAUGUUUUCAUUAAUCAAGAACGAAAGUUAGGGGAUCGAAGACGAUCAGAUACCGUCGUAGUCUUAACCAUAAACUAUGCCGACUAGGGAUCGGAUGAUGUUAAUUUUUUAAUGACUCG
This 506-nucleotide ribosomal RNA is filed under the name uncultured Glomeraceae. RNAcentral's name for it is "SSU rRNA". It matches the Rfam family "Eukaryotic small subunit ribosomal RNA", at positions 569 to 1078 of the family's 1831-position model. Lineage: Eukaryota; Fungi; Glomeromycota; Glomeromycetes; Glomerales; Glomeraceae. The record is from RNAcentral.